Molecule: transfer RNA, 70 nt
Filed under: Marmota monax (woodchuck)
Lineage: Eukaryota; Metazoa; Chordata; Mammalia; Rodentia; Sciuridae
Description: tRNA.Val
Source: RNAcentral
GGGCUGGGGCUCAGAGGCAGAACACUCCCCUAACACGGAAGAGGCACUGGGUUCGAUCCUCAGCACCACA